GCCAAGAACUAUUUUUAACUCUGGAGCUCAUCCCUUCACAGGACCAAUUGUUGGCAGAGCGUGAUGCCAGAGAAGGCACCUACAAACUCUGAAACCUGGUCCGUCAGCGCAUCCUCCACACCAGGACAGAGACUUUCCAAGAUUAGAAGGCUGAAAAAGAAGACUCGGGAGGACAUGUUCAGUGAGUUAAUGCGUGCCUCCAAGAGUGACAAGACGGAGCUCAGCGCAUGGAGGAUGACACUGUCAGAGAGUCUGCACAAUAACCGUGAGGACAGAAGAGCAUGCAGGGAAGAGGAGUGUGACACGCCGGAUGAGAUGGUUCGGAUUAUGAGGGAGCAAACAGACAUGUUGAGGUGUCUGGUUGAGGUUUAAGAAAGACAGGUGGAUGCUAGAGCCCUGCUGCAGCCUAUGCUGAACCUGAUGCCAUCGUCACCAAGUUCCACAUCCUCCUCUCCCAGACGUCCUAGGAUGUGGCCAUGGGGGCGGGGCGAAGUCUGGUAUUCCUUGCACUCAACUCCAGGGGAGGGUACAAGGACCAGAAGGCGCCCAUUCCCACACCUUUGAUUGUUAUUGCAGUGCAUCUGUAAGCAAACUGUCCUUCUUUUGCCCCGAGUUAUCUUACUUUUCUUUGCUGUCUCUCAGUGUUUGUGAGCACAAUAAAACUUAAUGGAUUGA
Molecule: long non-coding RNA, 675 nt
Organism: Trachemys scripta elegans
Lineage: Eukaryota; Metazoa; Chordata; Testudines; Emydidae
Exons: 2
Source: RefSeq, a predicted model, not a curated record